AUUUUGAAUUGGUCAGCAUCCGCCUCAAAAAUCAUGUAUGUUCUACCAUUAGAGAAGUCCCAUGUCUUUUCUCAGUCAGUUAUUGCUUCUGUGGAAACUGUCAUUGUCAUGGCAGCUCCUUUCUUCUUGAAACUGUCUCCCACCUGAACUGUUCUGUUACUGUUCACCUCUUUGAUACCUCCUCUCUUUGUCUUUUAGUUCUUACCAUCAGAAUCUUGGUGUGACAUCAAUAUCCGUAUUUCCAGCUCUGGCCACUGUUCUGAGUGUCAGACUCACAUUUCCAAGAGACAAGGAGAAGGCCUUAGGAUCUACUGGGGGAGUCCGGAGGAGCAGUCCCUUCUGUCCCGCUGGAACCCAUGGUCCACUGAAGUUCCUUAUGCUACUUUCACUGAGCAUCCUAUGAAAUACACCAGUGAGAAAUUCCUUGAAAUUUGCAAGUAUGCAGAGAGUACUGCUGGGAAGGAUGAGUACUGAACCCAGAACUGAUGAAUAGCAGUGAAUGCAUUAUGAGUGCCCUACAACCAUCAUGAUCUACAGACCA
This 541-nucleotide small RNA is filed under the name Pongo abelii (Sumatran orangutan). RNAcentral describes it as "processed transcript". The record is from RNAcentral. Lineage: Eukaryota; Metazoa; Chordata; Mammalia; Primates; Hominidae.